AAAUUGAAGAGUUUGAUCAUGGCUCAGAUUGAACGCUGGCGGCAGGCCUAACACAUGCAAGUCGAGCGGUAGCACAGAGAGCUUGCUCUCGGGUGACGAGCGGCGGACGGGUGAGUAAUGUCUGGGAAACUGCCUGAUGGAGGGGGAUAACUACUGGAAACGGUAGCUAAUACCGCAUAACGUCGCAAGACCAAAGUGGGGGACCUUCGGGCCUCAUGCCAUCAGAUGUGCCCAGAUG
RNAcentral lists this ribosomal RNA (238 nucleotides) under Acinetobacter baumannii. RNAcentral describes it as "partial 16S ribosomal RNA". It matches the Rfam family "Bacterial small subunit ribosomal RNA", at positions 1 to 237 of the family's 1533-position model. RNAcentral also lists the same sequence under 4 other names. Lineage: Bacteria; Pseudomonadati; Pseudomonadota; Gammaproteobacteria; Moraxellales; Moraxellaceae. The record is from RNAcentral.